This 499-nucleotide ribosomal RNA is filed under the name uncultured Chryseobacterium sp. RNAcentral's name for it is "bacterial SSU rRNA". It matches the Rfam family "Bacterial small subunit ribosomal RNA", at positions 8 to 507 of the family's 1533-position model. Lineage: Bacteria; Pseudomonadati; Bacteroidota; Flavobacteriia; Flavobacteriales; Weeksellaceae. The record is from RNAcentral.
AGAGUUUGAUCCUGGCUCAGGAUGAACGCUAGCGGGAGGCCUAACACAUGCAAGCCGAGCGGUAUUGUUUCUUCGGAAAUGAGAGAGCGGCGCACGGGUGCGGAACACGUGUGCAACCUGCCUUUAUCUGGGGGAUAGCCUUUCGAAAGGAAGAUUAAUACCCCAUAAUAUAAUUGAUGGCAUCAUUGAUUAUUGAAAACUCCGGUGGAUAGAGAUGGGCACGCGCAAGAUUAGAUAGUUGGUAGGGUAACGGCCUACCAAGUCAGUGAUCUUUAGGGGGCCUGAGAGGGUGAUCCCCCACACUGGUACUGAGACACGGACCAGACUCCUACGGGAGGCAGCAGUGAGGAAUAUUGGACAAUGGGUGAGAGCCUGAUCCAGCCAUCCCGCGUGAAGGACGACGGCCCUAUGGGUUGUAAACUUCUUUUGUAUAGGGAUAAACCUUUCCACGUGUGGAAAGCUGAGGGUACUAUACGAAUAAGCACCGGCUAACUCCGUG